Molecule: ribosomal RNA, 2907 nt
Filed under: Escherichia coli
Lineage: Bacteria; Pseudomonadati; Pseudomonadota; Gammaproteobacteria; Enterobacterales; Enterobacteriaceae
Description: 23S ribosomal RNA
Rfam family: Bacterial large subunit ribosomal RNA
Source: RNAcentral
UUAAGCGACUAAGCGUACACGGUGGAUGCCCUGGCAGUCAGAGGCGAUGAAGGACGUGCUAAUCUGCGAUAAGCGUCGGUAAGGUGAUAUGAACCGUUAUAACCGGCGAUUUCCGAAUGGGGAAACCCAGUGUGUUUCGACACACUAUCAUUAACUGAAUCCAUAGGUUAAUGAGGCGAACCGGGGAACUGAAACAUCUAAGUACCCCGAGGAAAAGAAAUCAACCGAGAUUCCCCCAGUAGCGGCGAGCGAACGGGGAGCAGCCCAGAGCCUGAAUCAGUGUGUGUGUUAGUGGAAGCGUCUGGAAAGGCGCGCGAUACAGGGUGACAGCCCCGUACACAAAAAUGCACAUGCUGUGAGCUCGAUGAGUAGGGCGGGACACGUGGUAUCCUGUCUGAAUAUGGGGGGACCAUCCUCCAAGGCUAAAUACUCCUGACUGACCGAUAGUGAACCAGUACCGUGAGGGAAAGGCGAAAAGAACCCCGGCGAGGGGAGUGAAAAAGAACCUGAAACCGUGUACGUACAAGCAGUGGGAGCACGCUUAGGCGUGUGACUGCGUACCUUUUGUAUAAUGGGUCAGCGACUUAUAUUCUGUAGCAAGGUUAACCGAAUAGGGGAGCCGAAGGGAAACCGAGUCUUAACUGGGCGUUAAGUUGCAGGGUAUAGACCCGAAACCCGGUGAUUCUAGCCAUGGGCAGGUUGAAGGUUGGGUAACACUAACUGGAGGACCGAACCGACUAAUGUUGAAAAAAUUAGCGGAUGACUUGUGGCUGGGGGGUGAAAGGCCAAUCAAACCGGGAGAUAGCUGGUUCUCCCCGAAAGCUAUUUAGGUAGCGCCUCGUGAAUUCAUCUCCGGGGGUAGAGCACUGUUUCGGCAAGGGGGUCAUCCCGACUUACCAACCCGAUGCAAACUGCGAAUACCGGAGAAUGUUAUCACGGGAGACACACGGCGGGUGCUAACGUCCGUCGUGAAGAGGGAAACAACCCAGACCGCCAGCUAAGGUCCCAAAGUCAUGGUUAAGUGGGAAACGAUGUGGGAAGGCCCAGACAGCCAGGAUGUUGGCUUAGAAGCAGCCAUCAUUUAAAGAAAGCGUAAUAGCUCACUGGUCGAGUCGGCCUGCGCGGAAGAUGUAACGGGGCUAAACCAUGCACCGAAGCUGCGGCAGCGACACUAUGUGUUGUUGGGUAGGGGAGCGUUCUGUAAGCCUGUGAAGGUGUACUGUGAGGUAUGCUGGAGGUAUCAGAAGUGCGAAUGCUGACAUAAGUAACGAUAAAGCGGGUGAAAAGCCCGCUCGCCGGAAGACCAAGGGUUCCUGUCCAACGUUAAUCGGGGGCAGGGUGAGUCGACCCCUAAGGCGAGGCCGAAAGGCGUAGUCGAUGGGAAACAGGUUAAUAUUCCUGUACUUGGUGUUAUUGCGAAGGGGGGGGACGGAGAAGGCUAUGUUGGCCGGGCGACGGUUGUCCCGGUUUAAGCGUGUAGGCUGGUUUUCCGAGCAAAUCCGGAAAAUCAAGGCUGAGGCGUGAUGACGAGGCACUACGGUGCUGAAGCAACAAAUGCCCUGCUUCCGUGAAAAGCCUCUAAGCAUCAGGUAACAUCAAAUCGUACCCCCAAACCGACACAGGUGGUCAGGUAGAGAAUACCAAGGCGCUUGAGAGAACUCGGGUGAAGGAACUAGGCAAAAUGGUGCCGUAACUUCGGGAGAAGGCACGCUGAUAUGUAGGUGAGGUCCCUCGCGGAUGGAGCUGAAAUCAGUCGAAGAUACCAGCUGGCUGCAACUGUUUAUUAAAAAACACAGCACUGUGCAAACACGAAAGUGGACGUAUACGGUGUGACGCCUGCCCGGUGCCGGAAGGUUAAUUGAUGGGGUUAGCGCAAGCGAAGCUCUUGAUCGAAGCCCCGGUAAACGGCGGCCGUAACUAUAACGGUCCUAAGGUAGCGAAAUUCCUUGUCGGGUAAGUUCCGACCUGCACGAAUGGCGUAAUGAUGGCCAGGCUGUCUCCACCCGAGACUCAGUGAAAUUGAACUCGCUGUGAAGAUGCAGUGUACCCGCGGCAAGACGGAAAGACCCCGUGAACCUUUACUAUAGCUUGACACUGAACAUUGAGCCUUGAUGUGUAGGAUAGGUGGGAGGCUUAGAAGUGUGGACGCCAGUCUGCAUGGAGCCGACCUUGAAAUACCACCCUUUAAUGUUUGAUGUUCUAACGUUGACCCGUAAUCCGGGUUGCGGACAGUGUCUGGUGGGUAGUUUGACUGGGGCGGUCUCCUCCUAAAGAGUAACGGAGGAGCACGAAGGUUGGCUAAUCCUGGUCGGACAUCAGGAGGUUAGUGCAAUGGCAUAAGCCAGCUUGACUGCGAGCGUGACGGCGCGAGCAGGUGCGAAAGCAGGUCAUAGUGAUCCGGUGGUUCUGAAUGGAAGGGCCAUCGCUCAACGGAUAAAAGGUACUCCGGGGAUAACAGGCUGAUACCGCCCAAGAGUUCAUAUCGACGGCGGUGUUUGGCACCUCGAUGUCGGCUCAUCACAUCCUGGGGCUGAAGUAGGUCCCAAGGGUAUGGCUGUUCGCCAUUUAAAGUGGUACGCGAGCUGGGUUUAGAACGUCGUGAGACAGUUCGGUCCCUAUCUGCCGUGGGCGCUGGAGAACUGAGGGGGGCUGCUCCUAGUACGAGAGGACCGGAGUGGACGCAUCACUGGUGUUCGGGUUGUCAUGCCAAUGGCACUGCCCGGUAGCUAAAUGCGGAAGAGAUAAGUGCUGAAAGCAUCUAAGCACGAAACUUGCCCCGAGAUGAGUUCUCCCUGACCCUUUAAGGGUCCUGAAGGAACGUUGAAGACGACGACGUUGAUAGGCCGGGUGUGUAAGCGCAGCGAUGCGUUGAGCUAACCGGUACUAAUGAACCGUGAGGCUUAACCU